This is an RNA transcript of Colius striatus (speckled mousebird), 9122 nucleotides long. It is a transcript of the gene named heterogeneous nuclear ribonucleoprotein A2/B1, with no coding region annotated. Lineage: Eukaryota; Metazoa; Chordata; Aves; Coliiformes; Coliidae. The transcript has 12 exons. The record is from RefSeq and is a predicted model, not a curated record.
CUGCGCGCCGGCGGCUGACGGGGCAGAGCGCACGACGCCGCCUACGCGCGAGCUGCAACCUCCUACCGUCGCCGCCGCCAGCACAGGAGGGGGGCCAAGACGUCUCUCCAACGGGGGGCUAGCGCAGGACCGCGUCAGGCGUCCAAAAGAAGGAAGAUGCCUCGCGGCGACAGAGAAAGCGACUGGAGGGAAAAGGAGCAGUUCCGCAAACUGUUUAUUGGCGGCUUAAGCUUUGAAACAACAGAGGAAAGCUUGAGGAGUUACUAUGAACAAUGGGGAAAGCUUACAGACUGUGUGGUAAUGAGGGAUCCUGCAAGCAAAAGAUCAAGAGGAUUUGGUUUUGUAACAUUCUCCUCUAUGGCUGAAGUUGAUGCAGCCAUGGCCGCAAGACCUCACACAAUUGAUGGAAGGGUGGUUGAGCCUAAGAGAGCUGUGGCUAGAGAGGAAUCUGGAAAACCUGGUGCUCAUGUUACUGUGAAAAAACUAUUUGUUGGUGGUAUUAAAGAGGACACCGAGGAGCACCACCUUCGUGACUACUUUGAGGAAUAUGGAAAAAUUGACACCAUUGAAAUCAUUACUGACAGACAGUCUGGUAAAAAAAGAGGAUUUGGAUUUGUUACUUUUGAUGACCAUGAUCCUGUGGAUAAAAUUGUAUUGCAGAAGUAUCACACCAUCAAUGGCCAUAAUGCAGAAGUAAGGAAAGCUCUCUCUAGGCAGGAGAUGCAGGAAGUUCAAAAUUCUAGGAGUGGGAGAGGAGGGAACUUUGGAUUCGGUGAUGCACGUGGAGGUGGUGGCAACUUCGGUCCAGGACCUGGCAGCAAUUUCAGAGGGGGAGCCGGUAAGACAGAUGGAUAUGGCAGCGGCCGUGGAUUUGGUGACGGGUAUAACGGAUAUGGUGGAGGACCCGGAGGUGGCAACUUUGGUGGCAGUCCUGGUUACGGAGGAGGAAGAGGAGGAUAUGGUGGAGGAGGACCUGGAUAUGGCAACCAGGGUGGGGGCUAUGGAGGUGGUUAUGACAACUAUGGAGGAGGCAAUUAUGGAAGUGGAAACUAUAAUGAUUUUGGAAACUACAACCAACAACCUUCAAAUUACGGUCCAAUGAAGAGUGGAAAUUUUGGUGGCAGCAGGAACAUGGGGGGACCAUAUGGUGGAGGAAACUAUGGUCCAGGGGGUAGUGGAGGAAGUGGUGGAUAUGGAGGGAGGAGCCGUUACUGAGUUUGUGCAAGCAUACCAUGGCUAUGAUAUGAACCCUGGACAAGCAUAGACUGCUGCCACUGUACACUGCUACAGUUGAACAAAUGAGACCUGCAAGUGUCCAUUAGUAAAGCUUUGCAAGGGUUCCAUCCCUGGUGUUGGUAGUUAAAAUGGAAGGUGCCAUGCUGCAGGUAACUAAUGAAGAAGUGGUCAACCACAGAAACGCUUCAAGAAAUAAGAAAUUCUGUAUCAUCAGAAAAUAGUUGUUUUUGCUGCCUUCAUUAAAAAAUCUAGAGGUUAAAUGAAUACUGAUAAACCAUCACAAUUAGUACAGCUCCCUGUAAUUAUGGGUUUUUUUAAAAUUACAGAAAUAAUGUCUUGUAAAACUAUCGAAUAAAAUUCAGAUUGGUUAGGAGAAACAAAUCACUAAUGUUAAAAUAGCAAGCAUUCUGUGAGUAGAAAGUUUAACUACAUCUUUUUAUAACUUUCAUAGCUUUAAAAUAAAGUAUUUUUUUAUACCAAAGUAGUUCUAGUGUAAUGCUUAAUAAAACUUAGUGUGUGUCUAACAUAUUAAAAAAUGUUUACGUGCAGCUUUUAGACCCUUUCAUGAUUUGAAACAUUCCAUUUUGAGGUGGAUUUAAAACAGUCAACCUGAUGAGCGUAUUCACAGAAUUUGCAUGACUGUCGGCAUCUGUUCUCUGUUGGGAGAAGCAGUGCUAGAAAUUAAAAAUGCUGAUCUUUUUGCUGUUGGACACAAUUGCUUUAAAAUAGCUUUUUGGCCGUAUUUUAUAUCACUUUAUAAAAAUACCUCCAUUCCUCUUAAUGAAACUAACCACUUCAGAGAGUUUGUCAAAAUGUGAUAGGACAAUAGCUUUAUCCUUUUUACAUGUAAAGAGCUUUUAGCAUCAAGAGAAAAAGACUUGAGUGGAAUGUAGAGUUCCUACUGCACUAGAACUGUAUUACUGAUAGAAGCAUCCUGUGUGGGGGGAAAAAAACAAAAAAAAAAAAGGCAAAAAGAACCAAAAAUCCAAAGGAAAAACCAAACAAAAACCCGCCAAACCAAACUCCCAGGUGCGAAGCCUGGGAAAGCUUCAGUUGGGGAUGUAUUUGAGGGAAGAUAUCUUCUGUUUUAACCUGUUACCCGCAUACAGAGUUUAUUCUAAAAUUGUAUUUAUAUGCUUAGCUGUGGCAGAAUCCUAAUGUCUAUAACCUCCUUCAUGUAAUUGAGAAAUAAUAAUUAAGGGUUGACAAACAAUUUUUUUUUCCCUGUUUCUUAAGUUGAACUUUGAAAUAUUUGCAUAGGUAACCAGUGGGCUGCAGCGGAAGCAGAAAAUGAAGACACACAAAAUCUGCUUUACUUUCUUCUUUCCAACAGAAUGACUUGACCAGAUGAUAAGGAAUUUUCCUGCUUUCCUGUAACUUAGAUUUAGUUGAUGGAAGUUUUUCUUUACAGUUGCUAUGUCCACAUUCGUAUGACAUUAAAAGAAACAACUUCAAAGGGGAAUAAUUCUUCUCUUUUUCUGUUUGAACUACUUACCAAUCUUUCAGUAGUUUUGCAACAAGGUUUAAAGUGUGUUCUGUUUUCCAUAAUGAGGACGUCUUCAUUUUCAUAUACUGGCGAUGGCAGAAGGGAGCAUAUAGGGAAGAGCAGCAUGCAAAGAAGUUACUGGAUAUUGAAAGUCUUGAGAGAGUUGGAGUAUUUGAGUAAAUUCCCUUUUGUCUUACUUUUGAGCUUUCGUGACUUUCCUUUCUUGGUCUCUUCUUGAGAAUUAAAGCAAGUGACAAUCACAGCGUUCACUGAUGGAUUUGGUGACAAAAGUCACUAUUCUGAGUCAGCCUGAUACUGAAAGCUAGCAACUUUGAAUAAAAACAGCAGUGUGUGUUCAGUUCCUGGUCCUUGAUGGGUAGACAGAAUAUACUUUUCUAAGAAGUUUGGUUUAUAUUGCUCUACAAACUGUUUUCAAAGUAAGGAUAACCUUGUUGGUCAGUAUGUGUCAGUGUAAUGAGAACUGAAGAGCAGGUUUUGAGUCGCAGCCUUUCCCCAGCAAAUCCACAGCAAACUGGGGGAAGAAUGUGCAGAACAACCUAACAUUGGUAACUGCUAUGGGAGCAAAAGACCCCAAAAACCUACGUUGGAUGACUUGCAUUUACAAAGCAGUGAUGAGCAGGGGUCACAGAGUCUUGUGUUCUCUGUGCUGUUCAUAAUGAAAGUUGAAUUUUAUUUACUUCUAUUGCUUUGGCUGCUGAAAAGUGUUCAGGAAAACAUGAAAAAUUCUCUUAACAUUGGGAUUUAUAAUUAGCGGGAAUUUAACUUUGUCAUGUGUGGGGAAGAUGGCAUUCUUAUAGUUCUAUGAUGAAUGCACUUAGUGUCCUGGGGAUGAAAUCCUACUACUUCUGGGGAAGAAAAAAAAAAGCACAAAAAACCAUAAUUGUUAAGGAGCCAUCAGCUGACUGUUUUGGCAGCUUGACCACAUGUAUGAAGGAGGAUGGUUUGCUGAGAAUGUACUGGAACAGUACAUUCGCUGAAGCUUCAGCGUGCUGGUGUGUGUUAAAGCAGCGUGUGAUGGAAGUGCAAUCCCAUGGUAGUGCUGUGGGGUUGUUUUUCUUCAAAAGGGAGACCCCAGCUUCUUGUGUGGUUCACACAGCAGUACUGGUAGGAGUGCACUGGCGUGUGACGUGGAAGGGCUUUCCUGGGUAACAUCAGCCUGUUCUGCCAGGAGCCAUACUGUCCUGUUCAGCAGUUGGGUGCUUGCUUUGCACAGCAGCAGAACUUCCAGAGUUUCCAGAGUUGCUCUAAGUCACUCCAGUCAAUAGAGCAAGGAUGGUUUAUCAACAGUAAAAGCAGGCAGUGUUUAGCUGGAAAUGGCUGCCCGGUGCCUGACAAGGUGUUCUGAACCCACUAGGUGGGGACUGAGUAGUCUACAAAGUGCUGUGUGCAACGUCCUUUAUCACUUCAUUGCAUGACCAAAGGGACUAUGGGCAAGUCUUAGAAAAUUGCUGUUCCCCCUCAGUGCUUUGCAACACAUGUUUCUUGCCCUUCUCAAUUUGAUCUUUUCUUGGUCUGUUGCGGGGCAUUCUACGAAAAUGAGUGACUGAUGCGUUUCCUGGAGUUGUGGUAGCUGUGUAGCAAGUAUUGAGUGCUUUUCACAUGGGUACGCGUGUCAGCUUUGAGUUAUUUAAUAAAUUUUCACCAGAACCUUGUGCCAAGUGUCCUGUUGCCUCAUUUACAGACCUUCACCUACUCAGUCUUCAAGCUCCUUGUUGGAACCAUACUUGUUGACACCCUUAAGAUACAAAUGUAGUGUUUGUAUUUGCAGACAAAUAAUGAGCUGUUAAAACCGAUAUGGAUGAAGUUGCUUUGUCCUCUUUAAAGACGGUUACUCCAGUUACCUCAUCUAAAACUAGAUUGUAAGCUCUCGAGCAGGAACAGUCUUGUAACAUUUAGCUUCUGUAAAAAGCCAAGUCUGUGUGAAUAAAACCAAAAGAUGAGGCUAAAGUAGCACCUCAGUGCAGUACUGGUAGUGGUCAUUCACAGUGUGUAUGCUGUGCCGUUUCUCUGAAGGCUUAUUUCCUGGGUGUUCAGCAUUGAAUAUCAUAAUCAUGGGUCUUGCAUUCUAAUAAAAUCCUAAACUUGGGUUUAUUUUCCACGAAUGCUUCUCGAGGUUUGAAUCUGAGCAGUGAGCAGCUGAUGCUGCUGUGUAGUGCCUGUGUGUGUUGCUACCUCCAGUAACUGGAAAGUAACCUGUGUGCUUUGUGUUUUCUCCAUCAUCCAGUGUUCUUCCUGUGUACUUACUCAACAUGACCUUAACUUCUCACAUACAACCUCUUUUCAUUAUUAAUGUAACAAGUUAUCACUCCAAGGUUAUGUAGCUAAGUAGCUCUACUAUGGAAAUCAUAUUUUUCGUGGGAAUUCCCACAUUGGCGUUUCCAUUGUUUCUUGAAGUAUCAGCAGGUUCAUCUACAAUCUUCACCUUUGCAGUUUUCUGGCACUGCAACAAUUUUUUCAAGAGGGUUUUUUGUGUUCCUACUUCAUUCAGAGAGCCGUCUUUCUCCAUGUCAGUAUUCAGUAAGGUAGGAUGUUCUGAAUUCUAUGUAGUUUUGUCUUUUUUUGUGGGUAGGUAGCUGAAGGUUUGAGAAAAUGAUAUAAUGCAUCCAGGCCCAAUGUUGUGUGUGUGUCAGGAGCACUUCUACAGUCCACCCAAAAGUAAUAAUUCACUGGAGAGGUUUUGUGGGGCGGUGAAACAACUGAGUGUUCAUACAUUGUUCAUAAUGCUUCUUGGAGAAGCAGUUGGAACGUUUGCUGGAUUUACAGGAGUCCACAGAGCUCAUGCUACUGAUGUGUGUGUGUCAUUUAGGUUUUUUGUUUAUUGGAUUGGGGUUUUUUUUCCUCCCCACAUAGGCAUGUACAAACUUGUGAAGCCCCAAAAAUGAAAUAUUUGGGCUUAUAGUUGGUAAGUUACCAGAAUUUGCUCAUGACCCCUGAAGUAGACUUAAAAGACCUGGUGCUGCAAAGGCUACAUGCCUAGACUUCCAGUGCUUACUAUGUCAUUUAAUUAAAAGAUGACAAUUUUGCUGAUACAAAUGUGUUAUUCCUUUUUUUUCCUGGAUCUAUAAAUAAAGUUCACAGUUCCAUCAGUUGCCUGUUGCAUGUUUUGGUUGAAGUUCAUUAAUUAGCAAUUAAAUAACCACCUUACUGUCAGGUAUGUUUAACCAACAGCAAGACAUUUCAGGGCCUCAUGAAUAAAGUUUCCACUGUGAAUUUACCCUAUCAAUUUGAGGCUGUGGCAAGACAUAAGUAAAAGGACAGACGCGCACAUCUAUGUAAAGAAAUCUUUUAAUAUAAAAUGCAGAGCAAAUUGUUCAAACUGGCUGAUUUUGUUAUUGGUAAUUCAGUGCAUCUGAGGUACUGCCCUCUUCUUAGAAAUUACCAGUUACUGUAAACACAAGUGCAAACAAUCAUGAUUUAUCCACCAGUGGCACAGUUUAUCAUCAAGAGGUGUAAUUUAGCAUUUAAACUUGCAUUGUGUGUAUGUGUAGUUUUUUGUGUAUUGCAAAUGAUUUUUUUUACAUACCUGACCAUGAAGUUGCUACAAUGUCAUGCCAUGACCAAUGAGUUUUGUGGUGUUUUAUGUGUUUUGUUUGUAAAAAAUACAUAAAGUAUUUGUUGCUCUUCGGUUGAUAUUUGUAGUUACUUUAAUAUCUUACAAACUAGCAUACCUCUUAAUAUUCCUUCCUUAUUAUUCAGGCAGUCUUUUUUGCAGACCCUUUUCAGGUUGUAAAACGGAGAAGGAUAAGCUGCUGUGUAUAAGCAUGUGAGUGAAUAAAAGGUCUUCUGUUUCGCAGCACAAAUGUGAAACUAAAAGCUCUUUUCUUCAUUCAAAGCCAUUAUCACAAUGUAACCUCAUUAUCACAAGUACAUACAAAGAGUCAUUUGAUUCAAUUUAAUUUAAAGAUUUGGGACAAUUUAAAAAAAAAAAUCCCUAAGGUAAGAUAAUAUUGAAACCUAAUUUCUCAGGACCUAGUUGCAGAUGGACCACAAGAGUAGUAAAAGUAGGUGGUACGUUAUGUGCACUUGGAGCUAUGAAGUUGAAAGUAAUGGAAAAAUGCAAUAGCCUCCUGGGCUUCUCAAGACUAGGAAAAGGAGAACGGUUCUGAACAAAUGCAAAGCACACAGUAUCUCUUAGGAAUAUGUAAAUACACAGUGACUUUAAGCUGAACUUGAGCUACAAUUUUUCCUGCAGUGCUGAAAAAGAAUUAAGAUAAAGUUACGUUGUGUAUGAUGAAUCAAGUACUCAAAGCACAUUUUUCUUCCACCUCUAAUCUGGUGUUUUUUCUCAUGCUGAUGUCCCGACUCCCUCGUUACCAGAAACUCGGUUCCUAGUUUUACAUAGGUCUAUAUUAACUACACUUACACUGAUGGCCUAGUCCCUUUAAUUAAAACUAAACACAUUUCUUACCUUCAGAAGCCUCAGCUGGUAGCCUGUCUAACAUCACAGUUGCAUAGGCUUGCCAGACCCUGGAACAUAGCCUUCCCUCUCAAAUGUCAUCUGUACUACUGCAGUCAUUGACCUCCAGUCUUCGUAUAAAUACCUUUAUCAUUCUUCAGGAGAAAUAAAACCUAAGUGAUCUUCAGUCACUUUUGUUUCUGCUCUUUUUCAUUGUCUUGUUUCUGUUCUGAUUUGACCAAGUCUUUGGGUAUUAUGAAAAUACUACCAUUGUCAUUGCAAUGAAUGACAUAUUGACAAGGGUCAACAGGUCUACCUUGGCCAUCCCUCAAUCUACUGAGAAUGUCACUGUACAGGUUAUUUAACUUUUGCUGUAUCUGGUUGAUUGACAUGCCACACAGAGUACUCCUUUUUUAGACUCUCCUUUUGUGUUUGAAGAUUACACACUUCUUCCAAGAACUGCACUCAGUCUGCAUUUACGACAUUUUUUUUGCAGCGUUAUUUUGUCUUUGUCUGAUGUCACAUAGAAGAGCUACCUGAGUAGCUGUCAGAUGGCUCUUUCCUAGCAUGGUGUUGAAAGAGUCAACAGGCAUGCUCCCAAUUUCAUCAACUGAAGAUGGUAUUCUUGGGGUUUUUGCAUAGUGUUCAUCACUGCUAAGGUUUGUAUCUGUACAAUUAUGGCACCCACCCUGUUCUUUGUUUUUUUCAUCCAAGUCUGUUGAUGAUGCUCUGGAGUGCAUGCUGCUUGAUUUGGCAGUUGAUUAUAAGCACAGUUAUAAAGAAACUGAUGAAUCAUGGCUUCUCUAGAACAUUCUGAAUCACCUGGAUAUUCCUCAUGCACACAUGUAGUUGUGUGUUCUUUGUCAACAACAGCUCCUCAGCCAUGUGCCAGCACAGAUUCAACAUCACUGUUGUACCCAACAGCACCUUCACUGCACACUGAGUAAGAGGUAGUGGUGCUGUGACUUGAAUUGAAAGACGGUCCUGAAUCUGAGGUGGGUUCUUCAAAGAGAUGAGAAACUCCUGUAGGAUCAAAGCCACCUUCCAAAGACAAAGACUCGAGUUUCUUUUCAUCAAAACUAUGGUCAGGGGAUUGUCAGGUUUCUAAUGUCAGCAGCUGAAAACAGCCCUGUCAAAUUUGACCCAUGAAGCAGUGAUUCCAGAUUUGUGAUACUAGAGCUUGAUUGAGGAAAAGACUCUUGCUUUUGUAAAUGUAGUUUCUGAAUUUGAUUGAGUGGGGUACUCUGUUCUUACUAGAGUGGCAUCCUGAAGACUGAAACAGUUGCAAAGUGUCUGGGUCAAAUUUACAUUGGGGUGGGAGGAUGGUGGUUCUUGGUCUCUACUAGAAGUAGCAAUUUGUCUGCUUUCCAGUAAACUCACCUAAAAGAUGAUGGAAAAAUGGAUAAAAUUAAUGACUCUUGAUCAAUUUGAUUUUUAAAAUUCCAUUAUUUUACUCUAUUAGAGUAAAAACUUUACAUUAAACUCUUCUAGCUAUCUCGAAUACUGUUCCCCAUUUGUACAGAGCAUGACAUGUGUUGGCAUGUGGCAAGAGGAAGUGGGAAGGGUAUAGAAGAAAUGUGACUGAAGUGAUGGGAAGAAGAGGACUUGCAAAGGACAGUGUGGGACUGACAACCAUUGAGAGGUAGAAUUGGGACUGUUGCUACGUGUGCAUCAAACUACAACGUGUUUAUAUCUGAUCCAAUCUACGAAAAGGUCCUUUGGGAAGGAGUGGUCCUGGCCCUUCCUUGGUAGUGGUAUUGAUGAUCGCCUGAUUCCAGGAUGAGCUGGUUCAAAGUGCUAGAAAAUUAACCUUGUAAAAGAAGAUAAAUAGCUCACCUGCAGGAGUUAACCAGUGAGAACAGUGGUGUAAGGACAGGAAUGUUAAGAUCAUGCUGUCACAAUGUCACUACUUUUUUUUUCAUAGUUUUAAAUAAAGAUUUUGGGGCUAUCAGCUGCCACAUCUGGCUUAGCUCCUUAACUGAA